UCUGAGAGAAUAAAGAGACAGAAUCCUGU
Molecule: non-coding RNA, 29 nt
Filed under: Rattus norvegicus (Norway rat)
Lineage: Eukaryota; Metazoa; Chordata; Mammalia; Rodentia; Muridae
Source: RNAcentral